AUUGAACGCUGGCGGCAUGCCUUACACAUGCAAGUCGAACGGCAGCACGGGUGCUUGCACCUGGUGGCGAGUGGCGAACGGGUGAGUAAUACAUCGGAACAUGUCCUGUAGUGGGGGAUAGCCCGGCGAAAGCCGGAUUAAUACCGCAUACGAUCUACGGAUGAAAGCGGGGGACCUUCGGGCCUCGCGCUAUAGGGUUGGCCGAUGGCUGAUUAGCUAGUUGGUGGGGUAAAGGCCUACCAAGGCGACAAUCAGUAGCUGGUCUGAGGGGACGACCAGCCACACUGGGACUGAGACACGGCCCAGACUCCUACGGGAGGCAGCAGUGGGGAAUUUUGGACAAUGGGCGAAAGCCUGAUCCAGCAAUGCCGCGUGUGUGAAGAAGGCCUUCGGGUUGUAAAGCACUUUUGUCCGGAAAGAAAUCCUUGGCCCUAAUACGGUCGGGGGAUGACGGUACCGGAAGAAUAAGCACCGGCUAACUACGUG
This 486-nucleotide ribosomal RNA is filed under the name uncultured bacterium. RNAcentral describes it as "partial 16S ribosomal RNA". It matches the Rfam family "Bacterial small subunit ribosomal RNA", at positions 30 to 507 of the family's 1533-position model. The record is from RNAcentral.